Molecule: non-coding RNA, 29 nt
Filed under: Rattus norvegicus (Norway rat)
Lineage: Eukaryota; Metazoa; Chordata; Mammalia; Rodentia; Muridae
Source: RNAcentral
UGCAAUUAAUUGGGAUCAUUCUGAUGGGA